This is a long non-coding RNA of Gorilla gorilla gorilla (western lowland gorilla), 533 nucleotides long. RefSeq lists it as uncharacterized. NCBI's taxonomy places the organism in Eukaryota, Metazoa, Chordata, Mammalia, Primates, Hominidae. The record is from RefSeq and is a predicted model, not a curated record. The transcript is spliced from 3 exons.
UUCUGCGUGAGGCCAAACCCUCCAUUUGUGCAGGAGGUCUCUCCCUUGGCCAGCUACUCAAGGACAAGGAGCAGUCCUUCUCUCCUUUGUCGCCGCUUUCUUCCUUCUCUAUGGGGUGACUCCCAUCGGCACACAUGCACGCUGUCAUUUCUCCCAUCUUUAGAAACACCUCUCGUCUCCACGCACUUCCCUAAUGACCACCAUGUUUCUCAGGCCCCUUUACAGAAAACCUGUUUGAAGAGGCAUCAAAACUGUUCAUCUUGGCCGGAAGCGGUGGCUCACACCUGUAAUCCCAGCACUUCGGGAGGCUGAGAAUCUAAAUCCCAUGAAGACAGGGACACUGCUUUGCUGCCUGCUAUGUCCCCAGCACUUAGAACAGUGCCUGGCACAUCACAGAGCCUCAAUAAUAUUUGCUGAAUGAAUGAGCAGGACAGUGCCCAUUCAUUUCGAAGUGAGCCAAGCCGAUGAUACAACUGUCCCCUGCAGCCCUUCCCCGCCCUUGAUCUUCCCUCACCCACCUACCGGGAUGGCAG